RNAcentral lists this unclassified non-coding RNA (211 nucleotides) under fungal sp. Its description in RNAcentral is "partial internal transcribed spacer region". The stretch from base 1 to 46 matches the Rfam family "Eukaryotic small subunit ribosomal RNA", at positions 1786 to 1831 of the family's 1831-position model. The record is from RNAcentral. Lineage: Eukaryota; Fungi.
AAGUCGUAACAAGGUAUCCGUAGGUGAACCUGCGGAUGGAUCAUUACCAAAGAUUAUUUCGGGAGUCCUGUGAACCGUUCGUUAGCAGUCACAGUCGUCGCUUGUUCUCGAAACGGGACUGUGGCCGCUCAGACCAAAACGUAUACCAAAAACUAGAGUCAUUUAGCCAAAAAACUAAAGACAACUUUUAGCAACGGAUCUCUUGGCUCUC